GCGAACGGCUCAUUAGAACAGUUAUAGUUUCUUCGAUUAGUAAGUACAAGGAUAGCUUUGUGAAUGAUAAAGAUAAUACUUGAGACGAUCUUAAAUGUAUAGAUACAUUUAGGCCUUUUUUCUGUAAAAGCGGAGAAAAGAGAACUGAUAUCCAAAGUGAAAGUGGGUAUCACGACAAUUGUAGAAUAGAAAUAUUUGACAAGUAAUCGAUGAAAAUAUCUGAUCUAUCAACUAGUUGGUAGUAUCGAGGACUACCAAGGUUAUAACGGAUAACGAGGA
Molecule: ribosomal RNA, 279 nt
Filed under: Entamoeba hartmanni
Lineage: Eukaryota; Evosea; Mastigamoebida; Endamoebidae
Description: partial small subunit ribosomal RNA
Rfam family: Eukaryotic small subunit ribosomal RNA
Source: RNAcentral